Molecule: ribosomal RNA, 206 nt
Filed under: uncultured bacterium
Lineage: Bacteria
Description: partial 16S ribosomal RNA
Rfam family: Bacterial small subunit ribosomal RNA
Source: RNAcentral
UACGUAGGCGGCUUAUUAAGUCAGAUGUGAAAGCCCCGGGCUUAACCUGGGAACUGCAUUUGAUACUGGUAAGCUAGAGUAUGGUAGAGGGGGUAGAAUUCCUAGUGUAGCGGUGAAAUGCGUAGAUAUUAGGAGGAAUACCAGUGGCGAAGGCGGCCCCCUGGACCAAUACUGACGCUGAGGUACGAAAGCGUGGGUAGCGAACA